UCCUUCUUAGCUCAGCUGGUUAGAGCAUCUGACUGUUAAUCAGAGGGUCCUUGGUUCGAGCCCAAGAGAAGGAGCAA
RNAcentral lists this transfer RNA (77 nucleotides) under Arcticibacterium luteifluviistationis. RNAcentral's name for it is "tRNA-Asn". It matches the Rfam family "tRNA". From Rfam's summary of the family: Transfer RNA (tRNA) molecules are approximately 80 nucleotides in length. The record is from RNAcentral. RNAcentral also lists the same sequence under 1 other name. Lineage: Bacteria; Pseudomonadati; Bacteroidota; Cytophagia; Cytophagales; Leadbetterellaceae.